AUAAUUGAGAGUUUGAUCCUGGCUCAGGAUAAACGCUGGCGGCGUGCAUAACACAUGCAAGUCGAACGAUGAACCUUAUUAGAUUUCUUCGGAAUGAAAAUAAGUGGAUUAGUGGCGAACGGGUGAGUAACACGUGAGUAACCUGCCUUACACAAGGGGAUAGCCUUUGGAAACGAAGAAUAAUACCCUAUAAAGUUAGUCAAUCGCAUGGUAGACUAACCAAAGAUUUAUCGGUGUAAGAUGGACUUGCGUCUGAUUAGCUAGUUGGUGAGAUAAAAGCCCACCAAGGCGACGAUCAGUAGCCGGCUUGAGAGAGU
Molecule: ribosomal RNA, 317 nt
Filed under: Anaerococcus vaginalis
Lineage: Bacteria; Bacillati; Bacillota; Tissierellia; Tissierellales; Peptoniphilaceae
Description: bacterial SSU rRNA
Rfam family: Bacterial small subunit ribosomal RNA
Source: RNAcentral